Long non-coding RNA from Mya arenaria, 2204 nucleotides. RefSeq lists it as uncharacterized. NCBI's taxonomy places the organism in Eukaryota, Metazoa, Mollusca, Bivalvia, Myida, Myidae. The record is from RefSeq and is a predicted model, not a curated record. The transcript is spliced from 6 exons.
UGGCAUUGUAAAUCACACGUAUUUGAAAACUAUCAAGGAAAGAUAAUUAUCGGUCGACACUAUUGGUCGCCAGCUUGUGCUUAUUUGCAGUAUGGCGUACAUCCCUUACGGAAAGAGAAUGGUAACUUUAUACACUGUUGUUUGUGGAUAAGAUAUGCAGAGUGGUACCACCAAUCACCUAAGCCACCAUUCCCCUAACAGACAAAAGGCUCAUGGGGACAGUUCCUGCAGUUUACAGCAAAGCUCUCAAUUGUAGCCAUACAAACUUCAGAUACUGCCGAUGGUGUAGCUUGGGUGCACUGGGCCGGUUUUCCAGCCGUGUGGAAUCAACAUCUCCAGCUGAACUGGGGCCGGGAAUUAUAUAAGAAUCCUUAGCAGCAUGAGUGCCAGCCAGUCAUUGCUGUUCUUUGCAUUGCUCAGAGGAGGACAGUCCUGCCAACAUAACAGUUUGUUCAAUAACGGGAGACAAACAGAAACACAGAGGUGCUAUACAUUCCGAUGGAAAAGACAACAAAAGCAUCUCCCAUCAUUUUGGCGUGGCUCAGAUCAAGAGGAGAAUUUUAAGAAAGGUGAUGGUUGGGCACACACAAGAAGACAUAGAUCACAGGUGUCCAGGCAUAUGAGUAGACAGGAGUUUCACACUCUGCCAAACUUACUUCAUCAGAGGAGCAGAAAGCUUCUCAAGAUCCUGCACUGCACACUAAGACAUAGUCUUUGACUACAACAAGGGGAUGAAAGUACAGAGAGGUCCAAUUGAAAUACAUUCUGUGCUGCAUCAUUUCUUCAUUCUGGAAGUCGAUGGACAUGAUUUAUCAUGGCAUCAAGUGUGCAGUUUGUCGACUAUCAGCAGUCUUGUUCACCAGCUGUGCAACUUGAGCUGGUAGCUUUAUUGCUUGAAGCCACUGCAUAAGAGGGGGAAGGUGCAGGCUCAUCAAAAAGUCUCAAAAGUUGAAACUAGGAAAAGAAGUUUGUCAAGAGUGUGAAUCUAUUUGCUUUGAAAACAAACGUUACAAUGAUUUGGUUUCCUUUGAAACUUGAUACAUACUAUGUGUAUGUUGUAUGAAUUGAGAUGCUUAAAUAAAGAACUGCUAUUCAAAUAUCAGGAAACUGCAUUUUUCAUACUAAAUGGUGAAUGAUGUCGCCAUUUCCUGUAUGUAUUUAAAUAAGAAAUGAGAUUAAAUUGUACAGCAUUAUAUGAGCUUAAUAUGUGUUUUCUGUUUCUUUAAAAUUGGUGAAAAAUUGUCAGAAGAUAAUUAGACCAGUAUCCAUUACUGCAAUCAUACAAUCAAAUAUACAGGGACAAGCCCACUGGGCAUAUAAUAUAAUUAAACCCUGUUUAGGGGCACGAGGCAAACAGAGUUACUUUCAAAUGUUAAAGCUGCACUCUCACAUUUUGGACGUUUUGACAACUUUUCACAUUUUAUGUCUUGGAUUGGAACCUUCCAAUUUUUGCGAAAAAUUAAAUGGCAGAUUUUUCUAUUUAAGUUAAAACAUUGAUGUUUUAUGCACUUUUUUUAAACCGUUAGUAACAUUAAUUUUCGAACAGAAAUAUGAAAUCUGCAAUCUGAUCUUUUGUCAGCAAUCUUUUAUCAUUGGUUUGCAGAUAAUUACGUAAAAAUUUGCUCAUUCCAAGACAAAAAAAGUUGUGAAAACGGUAUAUCUGUGGGAGUGCAGCUCUAAAUGUUUAAUUGCUUGAUUUUACUACUGUAUUAGAAAUUACAGGGGUUGGGGCAUAUUUUUAGUGUUUUUAUUGCUUUUUUAUGAUUCAUACAGUCAUACUUUAUUCCUCAGGGCACAACUUACAAAUAGACAAAACUGGAAAAUGGUCAUAUCAAAAGGUCAAAGAUAAUGUAAGUUGAACAAUCAUAUUGUUCAUGGCUUGUAUUUUUGGUAUAUUUUGUUGCAUAUGCUAUAGAAAAGUUGAAAGUUAAAAAUAAAUUCAUAGUUGAAAUGAUGGCUUUGAAGGUAUUGUCAGAUGAGAAACGGCACUAUUAAGAAAUAGGUAUAAUGGUACUUUAUUUAUUUUAAUCAAUUUUAGAUAUUGUAUGAAGAUUAUUAUCUUAUUUAGUACAUGAGACCUUUUAAACAGUUAUUGACCUUAUAACAAUGUGUGUAUGAAGCUUUAGAUCAACACUUAAAGCUGCACUCUUACAGAUUGUCAGUUUAGACACAAAAUUGUCUCAAAAUCUGCUUGGUUAUCAUUC